AGUAACGCGUGGGAACCUACCCAGUAGUACGGAAUAACUCAGGGAAACUUGUGCUAAUACCGUAUAAGCCCUUCGGGGGAAAGAUUUAUCGCCAUUGGAUGAGCCCGCGUUAGAUUAGUUUGUUGGUGGGGUAAUGGCCUACCAAGACUACGAUCUAUAGCUGGUCUGAGAGGAUGAUCAGCCACACUGGGACUGAGACACGGCCCAGACUCCGUACGGGAGGCAGCAGGUGGGGAAUAUUGCACAAGUGGGCGCAAGCCUGAUGCAGCCAUGCCGCGUGAGUGAAGAAGGCCGUUAGGGUUAGUAAAACUUCUUUCACCGGUGAAGAUAAUGACGGUACGACCGGUAAAGAACGCCCCGGCUAACUCCGUG
Molecule: ribosomal RNA, 372 nt
Filed under: uncultured bacterium
Lineage: Bacteria
Description: bacterial SSU rRNA
Rfam family: Bacterial small subunit ribosomal RNA
Source: RNAcentral